Molecule: long non-coding RNA, 1380 nt
Filed under: Androctonus crassicauda
Lineage: Eukaryota; Metazoa; Arthropoda; Arachnida; Scorpiones; Buthidae
Source: RNAcentral
GAAGCUUUUUAGGACUGCUCAUUAGUGCUAGAAAGUGGUAAUAUUAGAAUAUACCCCAUUUAGAGCAGCAGAUAUGAAGUAAGUUAUUUUGACUAAGUGGUAGCUGAGCAAGCUAUUUGAGCAUAUAUAACAUCGAAGAACUCAGGAGAACUUCUUUCAAAUUAACUAAAGUGAAAGAAAUGUUGGAAUUUUUAAGCCAAUGCAAGUUGAAUGGGGUUUUGCCUAAAUCCAUUUACGACAUAAAAUUAUUGGUUAAGUCACAGAGAAUCCUUACAAGUACAAAAAGAAUUUGCCUAAAAGCGGCAUUAACUGAAGCAAAGAGAAGGAUGUGCAAAUUGGCUCAAAAUAAGGGAGAAAUCUUAGUGAAAAUAGAAAGCAUAGACGACUCCCCUGAUUGCAAAGAAAUGGUUGAGGCAAUAGAGGCAGAAACAGGUAGACUGCAAGCGAAGCUGAGACCUAGGUACAUAAAAAAGAUCAGAUGGUUGAUAUGAAACCAAUUGAAGAAUAAGGAGAAGAGAAAAAAGAUCAACCUUAAACUGGAAGACGUGGUGACAAUAAUAGGAGACAUAACCCUAUUACAAUUUAUUGUAGAUAUACUUCUAAGAGGACCUUCAUGUGCUAUAGAAACUAUGCAUAACUUCGAAGACAUGAUCCCACCUUUCGAAAGUGUGAUAACGGACUUAGAUGAGCUCGAAAGAGAGUGGGAGAGCUGGAAAUUUGUAGAAGAAUUAAAGACACAUAAGAGAAAGAACAGGGAAAUCAUAGCAGAAGCGAGGAGCACAAGAACCUCCUUGUAUAAAAUGCAUCAAUGGAUGAAGGAUAAUGAUAUAGCAGUGACAAGGGAUGAUAAGUCUAGAAAAAUUGUGAUCCUCAAAAACAAGUGUCUAUGAUAAAGAGCUAACAAAGCAUAUAGAAGAUUCAGGAGUGAUACUAUUGAGAAAGGACCCAACAGGAGCCCUAGACAAAAAAACCCGAAGCAUAUUAAAGAAUACUGGCCUACCAGACUUCUUGAUAGGCAAAGUGACGCAAAACCCGGCCUGCCCUAGGCUCUUUGCAUAUGCAAAAACGCAUAAGGAUCCGCUAGCCUUCAGACCAAUUGUCGAAAAAUGUAGAUCACCCACAUAUGACCUAGAAAAGAGGAUGGCUAGAUGGAUAAAUGCCAAUUUGCAAGGGGACACACAUGCAGUCAAGUCAUCGAAAGACUUCUUGGAUAAAUUGAAAUUAGUAAAUCUGAACGGUAACGAAGUAAUGGUAACAUAUGAUUUUGAAAAUCUUUACCCAUCGUUGAGGAUUGAAGCGGUAUGCAUGUGCCUGUACAGACUUCUACUAGAACAAGCACCAGGGACGAGUCAGAGUGUAAACUUGUACAGAGAUUUGGCG